AUUCCCGUUGAUCCUGCGGGAGGUCGCUGCUAGUGGAGUUCCACUCAAGGCAUGCAAGUCAUAGGCUCGCAAGAGUACUGGCACAAGGCUCAGUAACACGUCGAUAAUCUGCCUUACAGUCUGGGAUAUCCUCGGGAAACUGAGGUCAAACCCGGAUAAAAACUACGCACUGGAAGGUCGUUGUUUUGAAAAGAAAUGCUGUAAGAUGAGUCGGUGGCUGAUUAGGCUGUUGGCGAGGUAACGGCUCACCAAACCUAAGAUCAGUAGGGGGGAUGGAAGUCCUAGCCCCGAGAAGGGCACUGAGAUAAGGGCCCUAGCCCUAAGGGGUGCAGCAGCCGGGAAACCUUUGCAAUGCACGAAAGUGUGACAAGGGAACUCCACGUGCAUACUGUCACUUGAUGGUAUGCUUUUGUUAAGUGUAAGAAGCUUAGCGAAUAAGUGGUGGGCAAUACCGGUGCCAGCCGCCGCGGUAAUCCCGGAGCCACGAGUGGGGACCAGUUCUAUUGGGUCUAAAGCGUCCGUAGUCGGUCAUGAAAGUUUCUUGUGAAAUAGUUCUUCUCAAGGGAACUGAGGGCAAGGAAAACUCCAUGACUUGAGACCGGGAGGGGGCAGGAGUAUGCCAAGGGGAGCGGUAAAAUGCGAUAAUCCUUGGUAGACUACCAAUAGCGAAGGCACCUGUCCAGAACGGGUCUGACGAUCAGGGACGAAAGCUAGGGGAGCAAAAGGGAUUAGAUACCCCUGUAGUCCUAGCUGUAAACACUGCAAACUAAGUGUUACAUAUCCUUCGUGGGUAUGUAGUGCUGGAGCGAAGGCGUUAAGUUUGCCACCUGGGGAGUACGGCCGCAAGACUGAAACUUUAAGGAAUAGGCGGGGGCGCACUACAAGGAGUGACGCGUGCGGUUUAAUUUAACUCUACACAGAAAACCUCACCAGGAGCGACGGCAGUA
Molecule: ribosomal RNA, 947 nt
Filed under: Candidatus Woesearchaeota archaeon
Lineage: Archaea; Nanobdellati; Candidatus Woesearchaeota
Description: bacterial SSU rRNA
Rfam family: Archaeal small subunit ribosomal RNA
Source: RNAcentral